RNAcentral lists this ribosomal RNA (452 nucleotides) under uncultured bacterium. Its description in RNAcentral is "bacterial SSU rRNA". It matches the Rfam family "Bacterial small subunit ribosomal RNA", at positions 329 to 795 of the family's 1533-position model. The record is from RNAcentral.
UCCCAGACUCCUACGGGAGGCAGCAGUGGGGAAUAUUGGGCAAUGGAGGCAACUCUGACCCAGCAACGCCGCGUGAAUGAUGAAGGUCUUCGGAUUGUAAAGUUCUGUGAUGGGGGAUGAACACAAUGACGGUACCCCAAUAGCAAGCCACGGCUAACUACGUGCCAGCAGCCGCGGUAAUACGUAGGUGGCAAGCGUUAUCCGGAAUGACUGGGCGUAAAGGGUGCGUAGGUGGUUUAGUAAGUUGGCGGUGUAAUUCCGGGGCUCAACCUCGGCGCUACCGCCAAAACUAUUAGACUAGAGUGCAGGAGGGGUAAGUGGAAUUCCUAGUGUAGCGGUGGAAUGCGUAGAUAUUAGGAGGAACAUCAGGGGCGAAGGCGACUUACUGGACUGUAACUGACACUGAGGCACGAAAGCGUGGGGAGCAAACAGGAUUAGAUACCCGAGUAGUC